RNAcentral lists this ribosomal RNA (329 nucleotides) under uncultured eukaryote. RNAcentral describes it as "partial 18S ribosomal RNA". It matches the Rfam family "Eukaryotic small subunit ribosomal RNA", at positions 1470 to 1796 of the family's 1831-position model. The record is from RNAcentral.
CCCUUAGAUGUUCUGGGCCGCACGCGCGCUACACUGAUGCAUUCAACGAGUCUAAAACCUGCUCUGAUAGGGGUGGGUAAUCUUUUGAAUGUGCAUCGUGAUUGGGAUAGAUGAUUGCAAUUUUUCAUCUUCAACGAGGAAUGCCUAGUAAACGCAAGUCAUCAGCUUGCAUUGAUUACGUCCCUGCCCUUUGUACACACCGCCCGUCGCUCCUACCGAUUGAAUGAUCCAAUGAAUAUCAUGGAUUGAGGAUGCAAGCAGGUUCGCCUGUCUUCAUCUUCGAGAAGUGAAGUAAAUCUUAUCAUUUAGAGGAAGGAGAAGUCGUAACA